AAGACCCCGUGAACCUUUACUAUAGCUUGACACUGAACACUGGUCCUUGAUGUGCAGGAUAGGUGGGAGGCUUUGAAGUGUGGACGCCAGUCUGCAUGGAGCCGUCCUUGAAAUACCACCCUUUAAUGGCUGGUGUUCUAACGUAGACCCGUGAACCGGGUUGCGGACAGUGUCUGGUGGGUAGUUUGACUGGGGCGGUCUCCUCCUAAAGCGUAACGGAGGAGCACGAAGGUUGGCUAAUCCUGGUCGGACAUCAGGAGGUUAGUGCAAUGGCAUAAGCCAGCUUGACUGCGAGCGUGACGGCGCGAGCAGGUGCGAAAGCAGGUCAUAGUGAUCCGGUGGUUCUGAAUGGAAGGGCCAUCGCUCAACGGAUAAAAGGUACUCCGGGGAUAACAGGCUGAUACCGCCCAAGAGUUCAUAUCGACGGCGGUGUUUGGCACCUCGAUGUCGGCUCAUCACAUCCUGGGGCUGAAGUAGGUCCCAAGGGUAUGGCUGUUCGCCAUUUAAAGUGGUACGCGAGCUGGGUUUAGAACGUCGUGAGACAGUUCGGUCCCUAUCUGCCGUGGGCGCUGGAGAACUGAGGGGGGCUGCUCCUAGUACGAGAGGACCGGAGUGGACGCAUCACUGGUGUUCGGGUUGUCAUGCCAAUGGCACUGCCCGGUAGCUAAAUGCGGAAGAGAUAAGUGCUGAAAGCAUCUAAGCACGAAACUUGCCCCGAGAUGAGUUCUCCCUGAGACUACAAGUCUCCUGAAGGAACGUUGAAGACGACGACGUUGAUAGGCCGGGUGUGUAAGCGCAGCGAUGCGUUGAGCUAACCGGUACUAAUGAACCGUGAGGCUUAACCUUACA
RNAcentral lists this ribosomal RNA (849 nucleotides) under Salmonella enterica subsp. arizonae serovar [1],13,23:g,z51:-. Its description in RNAcentral is "partial 23S ribosomal RNA". It matches the Rfam family "Bacterial large subunit ribosomal RNA", at positions 2085 to 2925 of the family's 2925-position model. The record is from RNAcentral. Lineage: Bacteria; Pseudomonadati; Pseudomonadota; Gammaproteobacteria; Enterobacterales; Enterobacteriaceae.